UGUAAACUUCCUUUGUCAAUCUAUGGAUAUGCCCAUAUAUGAAAGAGAUGGGUGGGUCAAAAAGGGAUAUCAAAUGAAGUGAUAGGGGUCACAAUGGGGAAAUGGAAGUGGUACAUAACAUUGCCAAAAUAAUGUGCCACUAGAAAUGGUGUAAAGGCUGUCUUUUUUUUUAAGAAAAGUUAUUACCAUGUAUUUUGUGAGGCAGGUUUACAACACUACAAGUCUUGACUAAGAAGGAAAGAGGAAAAAAGAAAAAACACCAAUACCCAUAUUUAAAAAAAAAAAAAUGAUCAUAGUCUUAGGAGUUCAUUUAAACCAUAGGAACUUUUCACUUAUCUCAUGUUAGGUGUACCAGUCAGUGAUUAAGUAGAACUACAAGUUAUAUAGGCUGUAUUGUUUAUUGCUGGUUUAUGACCUUAAUAAAGUGUAAUUAUGUAUUACCAGCAGGGUGUUUUUAACUGUGACUAUUGUAUAAAAACAAAUCUUGAUAUCCAGAAGCACAUGAAGUUUGCGACUUUCCACCCUGCCCAUUUUUGUAAAACUGCAGUCAUCUUGGACCUUUUAAACACAAAUUUUAAACUCAACCAAGCUGUGAUAAGCGGAAUGGUUACUGUUUAUACUGUGGUAUGUUUUUGAUUACAGCAGAUAAUGCUUUCUUUUCCAGUCAUCUUUGAGAAUAAAGGAAAAAAAAAAUCUUCAGAUGCAAUGGUUUUGUGUAGCAUCUUGUCUAUCAUGUUUUGUAAAUGCUGGAGAAGCGUCGACCAAUUUGACUUAGAGAUGGAAUGUAACUUUGCUUACAAAAAUUGCUAUUAAACUCCUACUUAAGGUGUUCUAAUUUUCUGUGAGCACACUAAAA
Molecule: long non-coding RNA, 856 nt
Filed under: Homo sapiens (human)
Lineage: Eukaryota; Metazoa; Chordata; Mammalia; Primates; Hominidae
Description: LHRI_LNC687.1
Source: RNAcentral